This 495-nucleotide ribosomal RNA is filed under the name uncultured bacterium. Its description in RNAcentral is "bacterial SSU rRNA". It matches the Rfam family "Bacterial small subunit ribosomal RNA", at positions 29 to 518 of the family's 1533-position model. The record is from RNAcentral.
AUGAACGCUAGCGACAGGCCUAACACAUGCAAGUCGAGGGGCAGCACAAGGAGCAAUCUGAGGUGGCGACCGGCGCACGGGUGAGUAACACGUAUGCAACCUGCCUGUAAGCGGGGAAUAACCCGUUGAAAGACGGACUAAUACCGCAUAAUACUAAAUUACUGCAUGGUAAUUUAUUUAAACAUUUAUGGCUUACAGAUGGGCAUGCGCAUGAUUAGCUAGUUGGAGAGGUAACGGCUCCCCAAGGCAACGAUCAUUAGGGGUUCUGAGAGGAAGGUCCCCCACACUGGUGCUGAGACACGGACCAGACUCCUACGGGAGGCAGCAGUGAGGAAUAUUGGUCAAUGGACGAGAGUCUGAACCAGCCAAGUCGCGUGCAGGAAGAAUGUCCCUAUGGAUUGUAAACUGCUUUUGCAGGGGAAUAAAGUGCAUCACGUGUGAUGUUUUGUAUGUACUCUGCGAAUAAGGAUCGGCUAACUCCGUGCCAGCCGCAGC